GUGGUGGGCAGACCGGUAUGUACCACUCGGUACGGGUGGUACGAUUCAAAAUUUGAAUCCUUGAUCAUGAUAUAAGUUUACAUAUGUAGCAGGGUUGGGAUCACUGGAACCAUGAAUCUAGGGUUUAACAAAACAUCAUUUUUUCCCCAUUUAGAUCUGCCACCAGUUUCUUGUUUGACUAUGUUUAUUUCGAGAAUGAUAGUACACAUUGGAUAUCCAACACACAUUGUUAUUUCGAGAAUGAUAAUACACAUUGGAUAUCCAACGGACAUUGUCAUUUCUCCUCUGUUAACUUAAGUUUGUGUUUUUCUAGAGUUUGGCUUGCUGUACGGAAGUAUAAAUAAAAGUACACCAAAUCUGUUUUCUUUUUUCUCUUUUCUUAUAGAUUGGCAACUAGGAUUUUGAUAUUUGGACUCAUCAAGAAGGCAAAGAUAGCGUGAUAGAUCUCGUACAAAAUCAAAUUGACAAAAAAAAAAAAAAAUUUGAAAGGAAAACUAUAAAUGAUUGCAUGUAUAUUCAUAUCUAUAUUGCUAUGCCCUAUUAAUUGUAUGUAUCUCUUUAAAGAACUCUGUGUUAGAAUUAAAUAUAAUCUUUUUGAAUCUUUUUAGGAAGUACAAGAUUUGCUUGAAAUAUUUGACUGUUAGUGGAUACAAUAAUAAUAACUAGGAGGAAUUUAGAUUCUUGAUAUCCUGAUCCAACUUUCUUGUGCUGCAGAAAUGAUUCCUUUAGUUGCAAACCAAACUUGUUCAUCGAAUCUAGCAUUAAGAAGAAAGAAUGGGUUCUUCAGUAUGGGUGAACUUGCCUUCGAUUAAUAACUUGGUCUUUAAGCAUUACAGACAAGAUUCAUGUUUUACAAAUU
This 859-nucleotide long non-coding RNA is filed under the name Musa acuminata (dwarf banana). RNAcentral describes it as "long non-coding RNA (MACU_LNC006796)". The record is from RNAcentral. Lineage: Eukaryota; Viridiplantae; Streptophyta; Magnoliopsida; Zingiberales; Musaceae.